Molecule: ribosomal RNA, 454 nt
Filed under: uncultured eukaryote
Lineage: Eukaryota
Description: bacterial SSU rRNA
Rfam family: Eukaryotic small subunit ribosomal RNA
Source: RNAcentral
CUGGUUGAUCCUGCCAGUAGUCAUACGCUUGUCUUAAAGAUUAAGCCAUGCAUGUCUAAGUGCAGUGUACUCUUACACACUAGACUUGCGGACGGCUCAUUAUAACAGUUAUAGUUAUUUGAUUGGUUUUUUUUCCGUGGAUAACCGUGGUAAUUCUAGAGCUAAUACAUGCUAAUAUCGCUGCCGUUUACGCUGGCGAGCAUUUAUUAGAUACCAGAAUCAGCGGGCUUCGGCUCUGCUUGAGGACUCAUAAUAACUGCUGAGAUCGGACAUUGUCCGGCGUAUCAUUCAAGUUUCUGACCUAUCAGUUAGUCGGUAGUGUAAUUGGACUACCGAGGCAUUGACGGGUAACGGAGAAUUAGGGAGUUCGAUUCCGGAGAGGGAGCCUGAGAAACGGCUACCACAUCUAAGGAAGGCAGCAGGCGCCGUAAAUUACCCAAUCCUGACUCAGGGA